RNAcentral lists this ribosomal RNA (301 nucleotides) under uncultured bacterium. RNAcentral's name for it is "partial 16S ribosomal RNA". It matches the Rfam family "Bacterial small subunit ribosomal RNA", at positions 509 to 808 of the family's 1533-position model. The record is from RNAcentral.
CAGUAGCCGCGGGAAUACGUAGGUGGCGAGCGUUGUCCGGAAUUAUUGGGCGUAAAGGGAGCGCAGGCGGACAUAUAAGUCCAUCUUAAAAGUGCGGGGCUCAACCCCGUGAGGGGAUGGAAACUGUAUGCCUUGAGUGCAGGAGAGGAAAGCGGAAUUCCCAGUGUAGCGGUGAAAUGCGUAGAUAUUGGGAGGAACACCAGUGGCGAAGGCGGCUUUCUGGACUGUAACUGACGCUGAGGCUCGAAAGCCAGGGGAGCGAACGGGAUUAGAUACCCCUGUAGUCCCUGUCUCUUAUACC